RNAcentral lists this long non-coding RNA (625 nucleotides) under Chloebia gouldiae (Gouldian finch). Its description in RNAcentral is "Erythrura gouldiae (Gouldian finch) lncRNA (ENSEGOG00005005524.1)". Lineage: Eukaryota; Metazoa; Chordata; Aves; Passeriformes; Passeridae. The record is from RNAcentral.
AUGUUCCCUAGUGCCCAGUCACAGCAUGAACAACAGCACCAUAAAGACUGGGACCCAUCAGAGCCCGUGGGUGCAUGUUUGGGCAGGGCUUCAAAGAAGAAUGUUUGCAUCAUAAGCAGGGGACAGCUCUCAGCAGAAACUUUGGACCCAGUGAUGCUGGAGAGGCAAGCACAGCCUUCUGAAAUGGGAGUCAGCAACCACGAGCAUGACAACCAAUCUGAGAGUGACUUGCUCUUCUGGUUCUCCAAGCUUGGAGUGUUUGUCACAGUCCCAGGGGAGAGAAGCGAGGCUUCUGAAUGCAGAUUCUGCAAAAAUUGCAUGUGGGGCAGCCAGAAAGCCAGUGCCACCAAGACCCAUGGAGCACCCCCUGCAGAGAAGGAUCAGCUGCAGGUGUGUGACUAUGGCAGAAGAAAAAGCUUUGCACCUGAGCUCAGAAGUCCCUAAUCUUUGGGUUCUGCUGUGUUUCAAUGUUUCUAGAAAUAAUACUGCUGCUAUUUUAACUUUGCAAAGCCCAUCGCAGUGCCAGAAUCUGGAAGGAGGUUAACAUCAUAUCCCUCACUUACCUCUGGGAUCCAUGAGGAACCCCCAAAAACUGGCCCAAUGCAUGUGCUUUGAGAGUGUACAG